UUUUGCUCAAAGCUAGCACUCUACCACUUGAGCCACAGCGUCACUUCUGGUUUUUUCUGUAUAUGUGGUACUAAGUAAUCGAACCCAGGGCUUCAUGUAUACAAGGCAAGCACUCUUGCCAUGAGGCCGCAUUUCCAGCCCCCAGAUCCUUUUCAACCAGCCAUUCUCCUGU
Long non-coding RNA from Perognathus longimembris pacificus (Pacific pocket mouse), 172 nucleotides. RefSeq lists it as uncharacterized. Lineage: Eukaryota; Metazoa; Chordata; Mammalia; Rodentia; Heteromyidae. The record is from RefSeq and is a predicted model, not a curated record. The transcript has 3 exons.